CAGAGGGUGCAAGCGUUGCUCGGAAUCAUUGGGCGUAAAGGGCAAGUAGGUGGUCUCAUUUGUCUAGGGUGAAAUCCUUGAGCUUAACUCAAGAAGUGCCCUAGAAACGGUGAGACUCGAGUACUGGAGAGGGUCGUGGAAUUCCCGGUGUAGCGGUGAAAUGCGUAGAGAUCGGGAGGAACACCAGAGGCGAAGGCGGCGACCUGGACAGUUACUGACACUCAACUGCGAAAGCGUGGGGAGCAAACAGGAUUAGAUACCCUGGUAGUCCACGCUGUAAACGAUGGGAACUAGGUUUGAUGGGUCUUGACCCCCGUCGAACCGGCGCUAACGCACUAAGUUCCCCGCCUGGGAAGUACGGUCGCAAGACUA
Molecule: ribosomal RNA, 372 nt
Filed under: uncultured organism
Description: bacterial SSU rRNA
Rfam family: Bacterial small subunit ribosomal RNA
Source: RNAcentral